CUGGGCUACCUAAGAAGUACUGAAAAUGCCAUCAAUGAGACAGCUUGCAGGCAACAAAAUGACAGUGAUGCCCAAUGGGUUGAAGCAAAUCUGGGUCCAUUCGUCCAAUAUACAGCAUACUCUGACCUCAGUGACUUCAACAUCUCUACAGCUGGAUUGUUGUCAACACUCGAUCCCUCUGAGGUGGCACAGCUGCUACUGAGCUCUGGAGCCUCCAACGACACAGAUUUCAUUGAUCUCGUGUUUGAGCGACUGGAAGAGGGCAACGCUCUGGA
Oreochromis niloticus (Nile tilapia) is the source of this 275-nucleotide long non-coding RNA. RefSeq lists it as uncharacterized. NCBI's taxonomy places the organism in Eukaryota, Metazoa, Chordata, Actinopteri, Cichliformes, Cichlidae. The record is from RefSeq and is a predicted model, not a curated record. The transcript has 3 exons.